CGUCGUUGAACGGCCCUGAAAGCGCUGCGUUAGGGGCGAGUGCAACCGAACAUUACGGCAAGUUACGAUGGGAACUUCUUUCCGUGCUACUUGAUUGCGACGACAAGAACGGCCAGCAGUAGCGUGUCGCCGAUUUCGUCUUGGCCGACAUCGAACAAGUAUAGCUCGCCGGACCGUGGCUAGCACCCGAAGUGUUGCGGUCUGCACUGCGUCGUCUUUCAUUGUGAUGUGAGAGAUCGUAACGCACAGAGACUGCCGGAUGCAUACGAAAGCCUACCAGCAGGGAGUGACUGUGCCAUUUUUCUCUUAACGUCUCAGGUAUUGAAGAAGCGGCAACAGCCACAGAAAGUAGCCAUCUUAUCCAGCACGUUAUGGGUAGAACUUGGCGGCUCCUGCUCCUGCCUUCCACCACCACCCUGUCCCGACUGCUUCCACUAGAGAGUUGGCAACCUUAGUGAUGAUGCCAAGCAGUCCGAUGGCAGACGGCAAGAUGCAGGUUGCUGCGAAAUUUUACCCGAGCUGGGCCACACACUUGAGCCAGGCCUCUUGGAAAGGAUGCCAUAAUCAGACUCCACGCGUCGAUGUCAGAGGAUGCCAGGGAUCAAGGCAACCUGUUGUGCCCCACUAUUCAAUGUUUGGUGACCCUUCUAUGUGUUUCACCUAUUUCGCAGCUGUACCUCGGCUGCCAUCUAUCCAAACAGCAUCGCCAGCUGUGCCCACUUGUUGAACCAUGGACAAAUGUUGGCAUGGAGUGUUCCCUGGGCUUCAUGUUCUAUUUGCUCUUCAGGAUUCUUGGCAAAUACUGUUAUAAGUUACAUGUUUUUAGUACCGACUUUUUAAUAUUUCCUUUCUCUUGGAAUUCUUAACAUCUCCUGCUAUUAUAUCUGUAUGUAUGCCCAGUUUCUCGUAGUUAUUUUGUACUUGUGUAUGUAAUUGAUAGGUUCUUAACUCUUGUAAUGCGUAAGGCUAAAACGCUGACUUACAUCAUGUUUUGUUCAUUUAUUAUCUGCAGCGCUGUAAAACGUUCAAGAAUUUUAACUCAACUAGUGCCCCAUAGCAGGAUAAAUUCAAGAGCAAAAUUGAGCACCUAUUUCAAGCACCCGUUAUUUUUUAAAAAGGAAAGAACGUAGGAGCAUGGAAAAAAACAGUAUUAUAGUAGGAAAACCUGGCUGCCCAUCAUAAGUGUCUUAAUAAUGUGACUUCCUUUCAGUGCAAUGAUACCAGUGGCACUGGUGGACAACGUUUGAGACAUGAAACCCAUGAUACCCUUGGCAUUCGUCAGU
Long non-coding RNA from Dermacentor silvarum, 1283 nucleotides. RefSeq lists it as uncharacterized. The record is from RefSeq and is a predicted model, not a curated record. The transcript is spliced from 4 exons. Lineage: Eukaryota; Metazoa; Arthropoda; Arachnida; Ixodida; Ixodidae.